This 514-nucleotide small RNA is filed under the name Pongo abelii (Sumatran orangutan). Its description in RNAcentral is "retained intron". Lineage: Eukaryota; Metazoa; Chordata; Mammalia; Primates; Hominidae. The record is from RNAcentral.
UCCCUGGGACUGAGGAGGCAGAAUGGAGGGGCCCUAACUCCUCUCUGUUCUCCAGAGCGCAGAUGUUCUGUGUUUUACGGGGCACCAAGUAAGAGCAGACUCUUGGCCACUUUGUGUUCUGCUGAAGUCUGCCAGUGUGCUGAGGGGAAGUGCCCUCGCCAGCGUCGCGCCCUGGAGCGGGGUCUGCAGGACGAGGAUGGCUACAGGAUGAAGUUUGCCUGCUACUACCCCCGUGUGGAGUACGGUCAGUCUUCCCACCGAGGCCCUGGCCUGACCCUCCCUCGGGGACCGGCUGUUUUGGUCUCUCCGGGUGUAGCCUGCUCCUCUUACAGGUCAUGCACAUAGCCUGUUUGCUCUGACACCAACUUCCUACCCUCUCAGCCUCAAACUCACCUUUCCCCCUUCUCCUCACCCACUCUUAGGCUUCCAGGUUAAGGUUCUCCGAGAAGACAGCAGAGCUGCUUUCCGCCUCUUUGAGACCAAGAUCACCCAAGUCCUGCACUUCAGUAUGAAG